AUUAUACGGCGAAACUGCGAAUGGCUCAUUAUAUAAGUUAUCGUUUAUUUGAUAGUACCUUACUACUUGGAUAACCGUGGUAAUUCUAGAGCUAAUACAUGCUAAAAAUCCCGACUUCGGAAGGGAUGUAUUUAUUAGAUUAAAAACCAAUGCCCUCUGGGCUCUCUGGUGAUUCAUGAUAACUCCGCGAAUCGCAUGGCCUUGUGCCGGCGAUGGCUCAUUCAAAUUUCUUCCCUAUCAACUUUCGAUGUUUGGGUAUUGGCCAAACAUGGUUGCAACGGGUAACGGAGGGUUAGGGCUCGACCCCGGAGAAGGAGCCUGAGAAACGGCUACUACAUCCAAGGAAGGCAGCAGGCGCGCAAAUUACCCAAUCCCGACACGGGGAGGUAGUGACAAUAAAUACUGAUACAGGGCUCUUUUGGGUCUUGUAAUUGGAAUGAGUACAAUUUAAAUCCCUUAACGAGGAACAAUUGGAGGGCAAGUCUGGUGCCAGCAGCCGCGGUAAUUCCAGCUCCAAUAGCGUAUAUUAAAGUUGUUGUGGUUAAAAAGCUCGUAGUUGAACCUUGGGCCUGGCUGGCCGGUCCGCCUCACCGCGUGUACUGGUCCGGCCGGGCCUUUCCCUCUGUGGAACCUCAUGCCCUUCACUGGGUGUGGCGGGGAAACAGGACUUUUACUUUGAAAAAAUUAGAGUGCUCAAGGCAGGCCUAUGCUCGAAUACAUUAGCAUGGAAUAAUAGAAUAGGACGUGUGGUUCUAUUUUGUUGGUUUCUAGGACCGCCGUAAUGAUUAAUAGGGACAGUCGGGGGCAUCAGUAUUCAAUUGUCAGAGGUGAAAUUCUUGGAUUUAUUGAAGACUAACUACUGCGAAAGCAUUUGCCAAGGAUGUUUUCAUUAAUCAGGAACGAAAGUUAGGGGAUCGAAGACGAUCAGAUACCGUCGUAGUCUUAACCAUAAACUAUGCCGACUAGGGAUCGGACGAUGUUAUUUUUUGACUCGUUCGGCACCUUACGAGAAAUCAAAGUGC
RNAcentral lists this ribosomal RNA (1022 nucleotides) under Calcarisporium xylariicola. RNAcentral's name for it is "SSU rRNA". It matches the Rfam family "Eukaryotic small subunit ribosomal RNA", at positions 73 to 1106 of the family's 1831-position model. Lineage: Eukaryota; Fungi; Ascomycota; Sordariomycetes; Hypocreales; Calcarisporiaceae. The record is from RNAcentral.